RNAcentral lists this ribosomal RNA (248 nucleotides) under uncultured bacterium. RNAcentral's name for it is "partial small subunit ribosomal RNA". It matches the Rfam family "Bacterial small subunit ribosomal RNA", at positions 26 to 286 of the family's 1533-position model. The record is from RNAcentral.
AGAAUCAACGCUGGCGGCGUGCCUAACACAUGCAAGUCGAACGAGAAAGGGGUAGCAAUACCCUGAGUAAAGUGGCGCACGGGUGAGUAACACGUGACUAACCUACCCUGGAGUGGGGGAUAACUGAGGGAAACCUUAGCUAAUACCGCAUAACACCUACGGGUCAAAGGAGCAAUUCGCUUCAGGAGGGGGUCGCGGCCGAUUAGUUAGUUGGCGGGGUAAUGGCCCACCAAGACGAUGAUCGGUAU